This 253-nucleotide ribosomal RNA is filed under the name uncultured bacterium. Its description in RNAcentral is "partial 16S ribosomal RNA". It matches the Rfam family "Bacterial small subunit ribosomal RNA", at positions 524 to 776 of the family's 1533-position model. The record is from RNAcentral.
UACGUAGGGGGCAAGCGUUGUCCGGAUUUAUUGGGCGUAAAGAGCGUGUAGGCGGCCGUACAGGUCAGCUGUGAAAACUCGAGGCUCAACCUCGAGACGUCGGUUGAAACCGUACGGCUAGAGUCCGGAAGAGGAGAGUGGAAUUCCCGGUGUAGCGGUGAAAUGCGCAGAUAUCGGGAAGAACACCCGUGGCGAAGGCGGCACUCUGGGACGGUACUGACGCUGAGACGCGAAAGCGUGGGGAGCGAACAGG